CCGAGCUGCGCUGCGAGGAGCGGGACCGGCCUCGGCGGGCUGUCCUGCUCGCCAGGACACUGCUGACACCGCCUGCCUGCUAAUAUACUUACUAAAACACCUGGUUUUCAGUAGCUGAGAUCUAAUAAAUUCAGUGAGUUAAAUUCACUUAAACGUGCGGGUCUUACGCGGCCGGGCAUGGAAUUGAAGUUUAACGCUGUAGUGCACCAGCCCCGGUGCAAGCCGCUUUCUCACGGCCGGCACACACGCCCGUUCCUGUGUGGAAAAGCCAUGUUUAUUCCAAGGAGAGCUGUAAGGCCGUGCUUUCCUAACAGGAGCUGAGACCUUUCCCCGAUGUUUCCCAAAUACUUCCUCCAGUCUCCAGCUAAGAAUCCUGGGCAGUAUUAGGCAGUAGCCAAGGAUUUCUCAGCUUCCCGUGUGACGACAGGAACUUGCAAAGCCAAAUUCAGAUAUGACAGGCGUCAUCAUAUCAGACUAGUGUGUCUUUACAAACACACUGCUUGUAGAGAAGGCCAGAGAUAAGGUAGAUAAUGAAAUAAUGAGAAAACCCAUUAAUUUUAGAAGGCUUUACUAAUUGAUGCAGACAGCUGCUCAGCCAAGGUCGCGCUAAACUCCUGAACUUUGUGAAGACUUUAUAGAGGAAUCAUGCCAGGAGCAGCUGGAGCAGCACAGUAUGUCCAAGCUGCGGGCCUGAGAAAAAGAAAGUUGGAUUAUCCCAGUACUUGUUACUAAUGUGGCUGGAUGACCACCCUUAUGACUGUGUGGAGGCUGGGGAGGCAGAGUGAGCAACCACCACAGCAACCCAAGGAUCUGCCAGCACAAGGCAAGAGCAGCCCGCAACUAUAAAUGCCUGAGGAGGAGUGAUCACAGGCACUAUCAGCGCACGUGGGGCCUGACACACAAAUGUAACUUCCCCUUUCAGAACAGAUCAAAAGGCCACAGGUGAAACCUGCUCUGUGAAAGAACCAUUACACUGGAGCACACGGGGCACAAACAUUUGUGCACCAGAAGAAAUGGCUAAGUGAGCAGUGCACGUGCAGUAAUUCAAGAGAACAAGAACAGUAACAAAAGCCAAGAAUGACUGGUAAAAACAAAGAAUUGGCAGUGCUGCCUGGAGCAUAUCAAGGCCACACUGUGUAUAGAAAAAUACCAAAAAUGCAAAAUAGUAACUGUGUAACAACUCAACUCCGAACCUUCUUUGCCAAAACAAAAAGGUUUCUGGGAUAAGCAUUGUUAUCUAUCAAGAACCAUGGAAACAGAGAAGGAUGUGAUAGCUAGCAGUCCUUGUUCUCCAUGCCACCACAAGUAAUCCUGGCAUCUACAAGAAAAGGAAAUCAGUUUUGUUUAAAAAACGGAGCACCUUUCUGUGUGCUCUGUGUGCACACCUUUCUGGUGUGCUCAUACAAUGCAUUUUGCUCCAUUUAUUGUGGCAACAAAGUGGAAGAAGAAAACAACAUUCCAGUUCCAUUAUAAUUACAACAUUCUUGCUUAAUUACAAACAAUACCAGUACAAGGCACAGAAGACACUCAAAUUCCAUCAACUCCCGAGGUAAAAGUUGUCAUGUUUGCAAAGAGAAUUAACCUUUUAGGAAGAAACAGCAGUAACUCAUGAUAAAAAGAUGAUAAAAGCAGAAGACACAUUGCCAGGCAUUUACAUUGUGUUCCUAUUUGCUCAGGUGUGCAACUGUGAGUUUUGCACAAGCAUGUAGACACAUUGCAUGUUCCAGACAAAACCUGCUUGAUUGUUGUGGUUCUGAACAGAUGCUAAAUAUAUUGCAGCAGCUGCAUAUUCAGUCAGUUGGUGUGAUUAGAGACAGACUGUCAAUGCUGAAGCAUGAUUACCAUGAUAUAUAAAGCUUACAAACUAAUCAAGUCACAAAUUAAACAGUAUUUAGAUGA
Molecule: long non-coding RNA, 1899 nt
Organism: Melospiza melodia melodia
Lineage: Eukaryota; Metazoa; Chordata; Aves; Passeriformes; Passerellidae
Exons: 3
Source: RefSeq, a predicted model, not a curated record